GCGGGAGUAGCUCAUUCGGUAGAGCGCUGCCUUGCCAAGGCAGAGGUGGCGGGUUCGAGCCCCGUCUCCCGCUCCA
This 76-nucleotide transfer RNA is filed under the name Firmicutes bacterium ADurb.Bin248. RNAcentral describes it as "tRNA-Gly". It matches the Rfam family "tRNA". From Rfam's summary of the family: Transfer RNA (tRNA) molecules are approximately 80 nucleotides in length. Their secondary structure includes four short double-helical elements and three loops (D, anti-codon, and T loops). The record is from RNAcentral. Lineage: Bacteria; Bacillati; Bacillota. RNAcentral also lists the same sequence under 2 other names.